AAUCAACGCUGGCGGCGUGCCUCAGACAUGCAAGUCGAACGAUUAAAGCUCUCUUCGGAGAGUGUAUAGAGUGGCGCACGGGUGAGUAACACGUAAGUAAUCUACCCUCGAGUGGGGAAUAACAACCGGAAACGGUUGCUAAUACCGCAUAAUGCAGCGGCACCGCAAGGUGACAGUUGUUAAAGAUUUAUCGCUUGAGGAGGAGCUUGCGGCAGAUUAGCUAGUUGGUAGGGUAACGGCUUACCAAGGCUACGAUCUGUAACCGGUCUAAGAGGACGGUCGGUCACACUGACACUGAAUAACGGGUCAGACUCCUACGGGAGGCAGCAGUCGGGAAUUUUGGGCAAUGGGCGAAAGCCUGACCCAGCAACGCCGCGUGAAGGAUGAAGUAUUUCGGUAUGUAAACUUCGAAAGAAUAGGAAGAUUAAUGACGGUACUAUUUAUAAGGUCCGGCUAACUACGUG
This 464-nucleotide ribosomal RNA is filed under the name uncultured bacterium. RNAcentral's name for it is "bacterial SSU rRNA". It matches the Rfam family "Bacterial small subunit ribosomal RNA", at positions 32 to 507 of the family's 1533-position model. The record is from RNAcentral.